AGCCCUAGGAAUAUAUCUAAGGUUAAACCUGCCCAAUGUAAAGGUAUUAAUGGCCGCGGUACUCUGACCGUGCUAAGGUAGCGUAAUCAGUUGGCUCUUAAUUGGGGUCAGGAAUGAAUGGAAUCUCGUAGUUUUUCUGUCUCUAAAAUAAUUGUUCGAAAUUACUAUAAAGGUGAAAAAGCCUUUAAUAAUAAAAAAGACGAGAAGACCCUUAGAGUUUUACUGAGAGCAAUGAGCAAAAGAUAUUUAGUAAUUGUUCAAGUUUAGUUGGGGCAACAUAGGAGAAAAUUUAUAAAUUCAUAACCUCCUAAAUUCAGACAGACCGAUUAUUAUAAAUUUGGAUAAACUACCUUAGGGAUAACAGCAUUAUUUUAAAAAUAAGUUUGUGACCUCGAUGUUGGACUGGGAACCUAAAAGGCUAGCCGUUUUUUAGUGAAGUUCUGUUCGAACUAUUAAUUCCC
Molecule: ribosomal RNA, 461 nt
Filed under: Thorunna furtiva
Lineage: Eukaryota; Metazoa; Mollusca; Gastropoda; Nudibranchia; Chromodorididae
Description: partial 16S ribosomal RNA
Rfam family: Archaeal large subunit ribosomal RNA
Source: RNAcentral